This 347-nucleotide ribosomal RNA is filed under the name Mycobacterium sp. CT-30. RNAcentral's name for it is "bacterial SSU rRNA". It matches the Rfam family "Bacterial small subunit ribosomal RNA", at positions 165 to 524 of the family's 1533-position model. The record is from RNAcentral. Lineage: Bacteria; Bacillati; Actinomycetota; Actinomycetes; Mycobacteriales; Mycobacteriaceae.
AAUACCGAAUACACCCUGCUGGCUGCAUGGCCUGGUGGGGGAAAGCUUUUGCGGUGUGGGAUGGGCCCGCGGCCUAUCAGCUUGUUGGUGAGGUUACGGCUCACCAAGGCGACGACGGGUAGCCGGCCUGAGAGGGUGACCGGCCACACUGGGACUGAGAUACGGCCCAGACUCCUACGGGAGGCAGCAGUGGGGAAUAUUGCACAAUGGGCGCAAGCCUGAUGCAGCGACGCCGCGUGGGGGAUGACGGCCUUCGGGUUGUAAACCUCUUUCAGUAGGGACGAAGCGCAAGUGACGGUACCUACAGAAGAAGGACCGGCCAACUACGUGCCAGCCGCCGCGGUAAU